Molecule: long non-coding RNA, 3763 nt
Filed under: Malus domestica (apple)
Lineage: Eukaryota; Viridiplantae; Streptophyta; Magnoliopsida; Rosales; Rosaceae
Description: long non-coding RNA (MDOM_LNC002514)
Source: RNAcentral
GAGGGAUAACAACACACACAUUCCCCUACAAUUCUACAAACACACAUCUCUCUCCUCUCUCUCUCUGCCGCCGACCAUAGUCCCUCUGUCAGAUAAAAUAGACCACAACACUUUUCCUAUAUUACGAUCACCUUUCUUAAUUAAGCAAAUUGCAUUGUGAUUACAAAAAACUUUGUAAAAUUAAAUUGUAUGUAUCAAGUUGGGCCAUUAUCGAAUAAAUAUUUCCCAACAUAGGAUGUCAAAUGCUCAAUGACUCGUAGGUUUUGUCAACAAGUUUUCAUCAACGCACAAAAAAAGUUGUCCACAAGUGACCUAAAAUCGAAUUUAAUUACACUGUAUAGCUGCGGUUUUUGCAUAAGGGAAAUGGAUUUCUUCACACGUCUUUCUCUUUUUACAUACUCCUAUUUGACUAUGUUUUUUUAAUUCUUCUUUGAUUUUUUUCAAUCUAAAGGUCAUAAUAAACAUGAGUGCGUAGGGGAAAAAACUGGUGCGUGAAAAUCACAAUCCUUGCACAACACCCACUUAGUGAUAUUAUGAAUGGCAUAAGAUACUAAUAUAGGUGGUUGGGUUUGCUAGCCCUCGUUUAAUAAUAAUUCAGUUUUGUUUUUAUUUUCAAUUGUUUUUCCCAGAGAUAAAUGGAUGUGUAUGUACAGAUUCUUUAAGGGAGGGAUCCCCAUUUUUUGAAAAAUAAGUGGGGUUAGUUGUGGGCUCACACCACAUCAAACUUCAACGAUUUGAACUGUCUAUUUUUCAAAUUGCACCUCAUAGAUCAUCCUUACAAAAUAUUAGUCAAAUCCGAAAUAUUUGAGGUAUCAAAUUGAGUUCAAAGAAAUUGACGAACACUAUAUUCUAGAAAAAACAUUGAACUUUUAUCAUGACAAUUAAAUGACAUAUGAUCUCGGAUUGAAUUGAAUUUUUGCAUAAAUGAUCUAUGAAUCGAGACUUACAAAAUAGACGAUUCGGAUCGUUGAAAUUUAAUGUUGAACAAGUCCCACAGCUAAUCCUUAUUAAUUUUUUUUAAAGAAUCAAUCAUUUCCCUUAAAGGACCUGCGGGGAUGUAUAUGGAAAAUAAGGGUUGAAGCAUGGUGAAUGAAGAGUAAAGGGAAGGAGGAGAAGAAGUGAAAGAGAAAGUAAGAAACAAAAAUUAGAACGAAAGAAAAAGUGGUUUGUCAGUUUUAUGAUGUUUGUAGACCAUUUUAUGUUCAUUUCAAUGACUUCCCUUCCCAUUCAUGUUCAUUCUUUCAUCUAUAUUUUCUCUAUUUUUGCUCCAUUGUCUUUCUUCUUUCUGUUUCGAACAAAAAAUUAAAGUUGAAAGCGAAAUUAUUACCAAACAAAAUGAUUAAAAGGAAAACCAUCUAAUAAAAUAGAUAGUUUGUUCAAUUUCUAAUUGUUUCAACUACCAUAUUAAUGUCGAAUUAUCAAAUAGACGGGCCAAAAGCUCACUUUUAAUAACACAGAUAUUAUCCUCAACUUGGUAAUUACCACAUCAUAUGACAUGCCCCGAUCCUGAUGUCUGAGGGACAUCAGGAUGGCCACGUGCUGCUCGACACCUGAGGGUGACGAAAGCCAUUUAAUGAGUGCAGUUGUCGAGAACAUGUGAAACCUGCAUAAACAUUUCACUCGAACUAACCAAAAUAAUAUAAUAUUCAACUGCCAACAAUGAAAACAUAGUGAUAAUGCAUGACAUGUUCAGAGCAUACAUCUAAUUCAGAAUACAAGCGGAAUGUGUUAUUAAAAGUAAUGUCAAGGCAGAGAGGAAGGUACGCAAUCACUGGUAGGGGAAUGCCUUGUAGCUCGGAUCGUAUGCCUCGUUCCUAUGUCCUGAGGGGGCGUAAAACAAACAUGAGUGGACCAAGUUGAUAUAUAUAUAUAAUACUAAAGUAGUUAUUCAUCAACAUACUAACCUCCAAAGUUUUAUGAAAACUCAUAUAGCAUAACAUGUAGUAGGUUUUCCAAAAACCCUAAUAUGCCAUAAAACUUCAUAAAACAUAUAUCAUAUAUAAUGUGCUAACUAGUGGUAUCAUAAUCGACCCGUAGGCCAAAUAUAUGAAUAUCUUCUGACCCGUAGGCCCCUACAUCACCCGACCCGUAGGCCAAUAUAAAUAUCUUCCAACCUAUAGGCCCCUACAUCAUCCGACCGGUAGGCCAAUAAGUAUCAUCGCUCGUAGACAGAACAGUGACCGCUAGAUAAGCACAAAACAUUGAAUAUAAUCUUUCCAACAUACGUACAUAUAUCUCAAAACAUCUUUAGAGUAUAUAGUCAUCCAUCAUAUAUACUACAAAGAGUGUAAAAACAUGUUCAUAAAUGGUAUAUAGUUAUCCAUCAUAUAUACUACAAGGAACAUAAAUUCAAUAAAGUAUGGUAUUCCAAAAUAUUCUCAGUAAAACAUGAUAAUCAUAAAUUGUAAAUCUAAUUUACUCAUAAAACGUAACCAUUAAAUCAUAUUUUUCAUGUAUGCAUUUCCACUAUUAAAACAUGCAUUUUAGAAAGGGUCCACUCACAAAUACUUCGUUGUUGAUUAACCGUGCGAAAUAGGAUGGAAGAAAUCGUCUCUAAUAGUCGCACCUAAGCACAUAAAGAGUCCAAAUAAUAAAACUAUAUCAUAACGAUUGAAUUUCGAGAAACGGAUGUCAUAAACGAAGUCUAGGACGUCGAAAAACAUAAAAGGGGGACCUCGGGUACCCCUAAUAGUCGCACCUAAGCACAUAAAGAGUCCAAUUAAUAAAACUCUAUCAUAACGAUUGAAUUUCGGGAAACGGACGUCAUAAACGAAGUCUAAGACGUUGAAAAACAUAAAAGGGGGACUCGGGUACCUCUACGCGUCGCCACACACGCCCUCAUGCGCCGCCGCAAGGUGGUGGCUUCAGCGGCUAUGCGCUGCCACGUGCUGCUGUAGGUCGUUGGAAAAUUCACUAGUGCCACCAUGGACAGCGGCUCGUGUGCUCUACGCGCCUGUACCAGCAAGCCUUCAUGCUCGCCCACGGGCAGCCUGGGUUCCUAAAAUUCGUCUGGGUUGGGCUGGAUCCGGGUCUGGGCUUGGGUUUGGUUCCUGGGCUUAGGCUUAGGGUAUUGGGCUGGUAACUCGGCCCAAAGGGAAAUAGGUUCUGGGUUCAACGGGCUGAAGGCCCUGGGUUGGUACAACCAGGCUUGGGCUUGAAAGCCUGGCUCAAGGGUUUUUGGGUUAGGUUUAUAAAUGACUGGGUUUGGGUUUAGGGUUUAGGUUUUAGUGGGUUAGGCUUAGGGUUAAACGGGCCGAGGGCUUUAGUUGGCACGGCCCGAAGGGCCUAGGUCUAUUUGGGUUUGGGUCGUUGACCCGUUUUUCAUCGGGAAAGAAGGCCGGAGCCUUCCAAGCUCCGGUCAACUCUGUCUCACCAUUUUACCCUCCGAUCUACCUAUGAAAUUGAACAUAGAGAUAAGGGGAAAAGUUUUGUACCUGCGAUACACUAUGAAAUGGCUGGAGUCAACCAGAUUCUGGGCUAGAACACCACAAACUCGCCAGACCUGGGUUCUCAGUUUCUAUGUGCUUCAUAGAGAUGAGGGAGAGGGAGAAAAGAUCCACCAUGGUGGUGGUGGUGUUGUCGUGUUUCCUCGGGUGUGGUUGUUUGGGUGUGUGGGUGGGUGUGUCGAUGGGAAUGAGAGAAGAGUGAGAGAGGGAAAGGUCUGUGAAACUGAGUGAGCUGAGAGAGAGUUCGGGGGAAGGAGAAAGAAAAGGAAGGAAAUGGGUGGGGGUCUGCCACAUGGCAAGUAGAAAGAGGAGGAAAC